Molecule: ribosomal RNA, 452 nt
Filed under: Escherichia coli
Lineage: Bacteria; Pseudomonadati; Pseudomonadota; Gammaproteobacteria; Enterobacterales; Enterobacteriaceae
Description: partial 23S ribosomal RNA
Rfam family: Bacterial large subunit ribosomal RNA
Source: RNAcentral
AUGGAGCCGACCUUGAAAUACCACCCUUUAAUGUUUGAUGUUCUAACGUUGACCCGUAAUCCGGGUUGCGGACAGUGUCUGGUGGGUAGUUUGACUGGGGCGGUCUCCUCCUAAAGAGUAACGGAGGAGCACGAAGGUUGGCUAAUCCUGGUCGGACAUCAGGAGGUUAGUGCAAUGGCAUAAGCCAGCUUGACUGCGAGCGUGACGGCGCGAGCAGGUGCGAAAGCAGGUCAUAGUGAUCCGGUGGUUCUGAAUGGAAGGGCCAUCGCUCAACGGAUAAAAGGUACUCCGGGGAUAACAGGCUGAUACCGCCCAAGAGUUCAUAUCGACGGCGGUGUUUGGCACCUCGAUGUCGGCUCAUCACAUCCUGGGGCUGAAGUAGGUCCCAAGGGUAUGGCUGUUCGCCAUUUAAAGUGGUACGCGAGCUGGGUUUAGAACGUCGUGAGACAGUU